This 497-nucleotide ribosomal RNA is filed under the name uncultured bacterium. RNAcentral's name for it is "partial 16S ribosomal RNA". It matches the Rfam family "Bacterial small subunit ribosomal RNA", at positions 28 to 507 of the family's 1533-position model. The record is from RNAcentral.
GAUGAACGCUGGCGGCGUGCCUAAUACAUGCAAGUAGAACGCUGAAGCUUGGUGCUUGCACCGAGCGGAUGAGUUGCGAACGGGUGAGUAACGCGUAGGUAACCUGCCUGGUAGCGGGGGAUAACUAUUGGAAACGAUAGCUAAUACCGCAUGACAACAGUUAUUGCAUGAUAACUGAUUAAAAGGGGCAAUUGCUCCACUACCAGAUGGACCUGCGUUGUAUUAGCUAGUUGGUGAGGUAACGGCUCACCAAGGCGACGAUACAUAGCCGACCUGAGAGGGUGAUCGGCCACACUGGGACUGAGACACGGCCCAGACUCCUACGGGAGGCAGCAGUAGGGAAUCUUCGGCAAUGGACGGAAGUCUGACCGAGCAACGCCGCGUGAGUGAAGAAGGUUUUCGGAUCGUAAAGCUCUGUUGUAAGAGAAGAACGAGUGUGAGAGUGGAAAGUUCACACUGUGACGGUAUCUUACCAGAAAGGGACGGCUAACUACGUG